Lynx canadensis (Canada lynx) is the source of this 1280-nucleotide long non-coding RNA. RefSeq lists it as uncharacterized. The record is from RefSeq and is a predicted model, not a curated record. NCBI's taxonomy places the organism in Eukaryota, Metazoa, Chordata, Mammalia, Carnivora, Felidae. The transcript is spliced from 3 exons.
AAAGAAAAGAAAGAAAAGGAAAGGAAAGGAAAGAAAAGAAAAAAAAGAAAAAGAAGAAGAAAAAGAAAGGAAAGCAAGCAGGCAAGCCCGGCAAAUGUCUGCUCUGUGGCUGAUGGGUACGUGGAGGCUGGAGGAACUGGGUGGCUCAGAAUAUUAACCUUGUAAAUUACUUCCAAAAUGGACUUGUGUUUCGGAAUAUGACAGAAAGAGCGCCAGAGAGCCACGAAGUUGGAAGUAGGCUGAGGGUCCCUCACUGAGGUGAGGGGUAUCGCUGCCGGGUUUGGUGGCCCAGGGGAGAGCAGCCACGCGCCCGGGGCCCAGGACUCCACAGUGGUUGCCAAACCUGCCAGGGCCCACCGGUGGUGGACGACCGUGGGUGUUUCAGCCUCACCGCUCGCCUCCUGCUGAGUUGUUUUCUCUCUUAUCAACCAAGACUCAUUUAACAAUAAUAAAACACGUUUCCAAGUUUGCGAGCCUUUCUUCACAGUGAAUCUUCUGGAGUGUACCCGGAUGUGAGACCAUCAUUGGGAAACUCAUCUUGGAGAAACAUCUCAUUCAAAUGAAUUGGAAUGGUAUGACUCUUCAAAUCCAUCACCGUGAGUUGAGCCUCGACGUAUAUGAUGACUCCGUUGGGUAUUCGUGCAGCAUGAAGUGUUUGUGCUGAGUGUUCACUUGUGGUCUCUUGGUCCCAAGUCCACCCUGCAGUGCUUGGCUGUCUGACGUUAGGGCUGAGACCCUGUAAGUUAGAUGCCCUCCCCUCUGGUCCAUUCUGGCAUCCCGAUGCAAGGUGACCUGUCACCAAGUAGAGCACCAGUGGGAGAUGGGGCAGGGGGCGGAUUUCCCUCCUGUUUCGAGUCCCUGUUUGCCUCCAUAUCCAGCAGCGCAAGCCGGCCCCUCAGCUUCUUUCGGUACUUCUAGAACCCGUUGUGUCACGCCCACCCUUCAGAGGUCUGAAGCGGCCUGUAGUAGCCUGCUCGGAAAUCUGAGCUCCAGCCAAGCUAACAAGAAACAUGGCCAACCAUUCUCUGAGUUCCUCGGUUUUGGUAUCAUUCUUCACUUUUGUGCUAGAGGUGGUUGCUGCCUCUUGUCAUUAUGAAUGCCCCAGUCUUUUAAUACCUGUGCAACCAAGCCCCUGUAUUAAAUCCCCUCAAUUUGAAAAGCCUAGUGUGGUUUCUGGUUUUCUGACUGGACUCUGACUAAUAUAGUACAAUUAUAACCAAGCAUAGGUUUCCUUAACGUUAGCAUAAUUAUGGGGCGCCUGGGUGGCUCAGUCGGUUAAG